CCCUGUGGCUCAGUUGGUAGAGCAUGGUGUUUGCAACGCCAGCAUGGUGUGUGCAACGCCAGGGUUGUGGGUUCGAUUCCCACGAGGG
Molecule: transfer RNA, 88 nt
Filed under: Salmo salar (Atlantic salmon)
Lineage: Eukaryota; Metazoa; Chordata; Actinopteri; Salmoniformes; Salmonidae
Also listed under: 1 other name
Rfam family: tRNA
About the family: Transfer RNA (tRNA) molecules are approximately 80 nucleotides in length. Their secondary structure includes four short double-helical elements and three loops (D, anti-codon, and T loops).
Source: Rfam by way of RNAcentral